This is an unclassified non-coding RNA of Fukomys damarensis (Damara mole-rat), 279 nucleotides long. Its record names the gene 7SK. It matches the Rfam family "7SK RNA". From Rfam's summary of the family: 7SK was discovered as an abundant small nuclear RNA in the mid-70s but a possible function has only recently been suggested. Two independent studies have found that 7SK RNA binds the CDK9/cyclin T complex (known as elongation factor P-TEFb). NCBI's taxonomy places the organism in Eukaryota, Metazoa, Chordata, Mammalia, Rodentia, Bathyergidae. The record is from Ensembl.
AGACGCGAAGGUGAUCCGGCUGUAACAUCUGUCACCUUAGCGAUCACCAGGGUUCAUUCAGCUGAUCUCUUUAGGUAGGCAGGUGUCUGCUUUCUUCAUCGAUCUCCGUGUGCAUUAAGUAGGAUCAACUUCCCUGAUAGAGGACUGUACUUGGCUCAAGGAUGUAUGAAUAUCUGUGCUGCUCUCAUAGAAUCUCCAAAGCUCUCGAGAGGAUUUCAUACCCAGGUAAGUCUCAGUUACACGAAUGAUCACAGUUACAAACAGGAGUUACUAUUCUAU